RNAcentral lists this ribosomal RNA (471 nucleotides) under uncultured bacterium. RNAcentral describes it as "bacterial SSU rRNA". It matches the Rfam family "Bacterial small subunit ribosomal RNA", at positions 355 to 825 of the family's 1533-position model. The record is from RNAcentral.
UGGGGAAUUGUUCGCAAUGGGCGCAAGCCUGACGACGCAACGCCGCGUGGAGGAUGAAGGUCUUCGGAUUGUAAACUCCUGUUGCCCGGGACGAAAUGUUCAGACCUAAUACGUCUGAGUUUGACGGUACCGGGUGAGGAAGCCCCGGCUAACUCUGUGCCAGCAGCCGCGGUAAUACAGAGGGGGCAAGCGUUGUUCGGAAUUACUGGGCGUAAAGGGCGCGUAGGCGGCCCUCUAAGUCGAACGUGAAAUCCCUGGGCUCAACCCAGGAACUGCGUCCGAGACUGGGGGGCUAGAAUCCGGGAGAGGGAUGUGGAAUUCCAGGUGUAGCGGUGAAAUGCGUAGAUACUGGGAGGAACACCGGUGGCGAAGGCGGCUACCUGGACCGGUUCUGACGCUGAUGCGCGAAAGCGUGGGGAGCAAACAGGAUUAGAUACCCCGGUAGUCCCUGAGCGGGCUGGCAAGGCGCAU